Molecule: long non-coding RNA, 1988 nt
Organism: Leucoraja erinaceus (little skate)
Lineage: Eukaryota; Metazoa; Chordata; Chondrichthyes; Rajiformes; Rajidae
Exons: 3
Source: RefSeq, a predicted model, not a curated record
UUCCGCAUGUCCUUGCAAUGUGGUUACAAACUGGAUCACCUGAUGGGUAACCCAUACAGUCAGAGAGAGAACAUGCAAACUCCACACAGAACAGCACCUGAGGUCGGGAUUGCAUAUGAAUUGCUAAUAUUAUGAGGCAGCAGCUUUACUAGCUGUGCCAUUGUGCACCCCUAAUAGGGUGCUGACAAGUCCACACCUGACCUACUGCAUUGUCCUAUCUUCAUAAAUGCUUGCAUCGAAACAGUGCAGAGGAUUACUAAAUUAAUUCCAAAUGGAAGGGUUAAUGUAUGAAGGAAGAUUGUGCAGGUUGGGCCUACACUCCUUGGCGCAUAGAAGAUAUGAUCUUAUUGAAACAGAUUAAUUUGGAAGGGGUGGACAGUGUGAAUACUGAGGAUAACUUGCAUUUUUAGAAUCUGGGGCAGAUUAAGGGAUCACACGUUUCUCAUCCUGGUGAAUCUUUGGCAUUCUCUUCUCCAGGGAGCUGUGGAACGAGAGUUACUUAAAAUGUUCAAGUUGGAGAUUGUCAGACAUUUCAAUAGCAAAGGAAACAAGGGGUUUGAGGGGGGGAAAGUGGUGAAGCCAUGAAUUUCACGAUUUCAGUGAAAGGCGGAGCGUGCUCGAAGGGCCGAUUGGCCUCCUCCUGCUUGGUAUAUUUAUCACAAGAGCUAUGUGGAAAUGGCACUGUCUGAUCUGUGCUGAGCAAGUUUGUUAGGGUUAACUGUAGCAUCGGCGCGAACAAAAUGUUCGAGGUUUGUACAAUGCAGGUGUGGUCCAGCAGGCGGAAUGAGCCACUUUUCGAGAGAACAAGUUAGGCAAAGAUGUGCGGGCUGAAAUAUAAAAUAAAAGGAAACGGGGAAAUAUAUUGAAAUUGGAGAAUGGCCGUGACAGUGAAUAAAUGGGCGACAGGGAGACAAAAAGGAAGCAUGCCAGAGAAUGGGCUGUCCCUGGAGGAAACAGACUAUUCGCUCCACGUUCCCUUGUUUGUCUGAGAGCCUUGGCUGGAAGGCGGGGCGGUAGCGGCAUUUGCCCUUAGCGCUGGAGCUGUGUGUGCAGGUAAAGGGCUGUGCCCCUCGUUAACACGCGAUGCUCUGUACAGCUCCCGGUGAGGGCGAGCAGCAGCUGAAUGAUUGGACGAGGUUCUAACAUGGGAUCUGCUCGAUAUUCCCAAUACUGCCUUCUGUCGAGAAUGGCGAGCUUGGAGAACCACCAGGCAACGACAUCUUUGUAACAUAUUUUUCCAGAUCCCGACUCCCGAAUCCGGCUCCAGGAUUUUGGGGUGCCGUUAAUCGCAAGGAGUGCAGCAGCUUCCCAAGGUCAGCCUGUCUGUUCCAUCCGAGUCUGCCAACAGGAAAGGGCGCAUCCAGGGAUUAUGAUGAAAGAACAUGGCACAAUCUGUGAGGUUACAUCAAAAGGAUCAUGAGUCCAGGUUACUGCUUUAAAUUGGUGUUCCACUAUUCCGGAGACUUGUCCUGACUCAUCCAGCUAAGUGCCACGCAACAUCUUGUGUCACGACAUCUCGACGGUACAGGCGAUUUCCACAUUGCUGCUUUUGUGGAAACACAUUAAUGUAUUAAAAAUAAAUCUGGAAGGAGGUGUUUGAAAGGCAAAAAGGAAUAUUUACACUGCACAUUUCAGGAUCUACUGACUUCAGUAUCCAACAAUUUCAAACCCAUUCAUUUCAUGGACGAUUAACUCCAGAAUCCACUGCACAGGACUUAUUAAUUUCAAGAACCAAUAUCUUCACAGGUCACCACCUUCAGAAUUCAUGAAAUUCAGGAACCGCAUCUCCUAAAUUCAUUGUACCACAUGGGCAAGCUAACUACAGGAUUUACCAGUUUCAAGAAUCCAUGAACUUCAGAAAUUCGUAACUCUACAGUCCACCAUUGCUAAUGACCACUAAGUACAAUAUUCACUAAUCCCAGAAUACAAAACCAUCUAACUCCAGUUUUGCCAAACUUCAAGAUUCACAUACUCCAUGAUCCACAGAA